AACGAACGCUGGCGGCAUGCCUAACACAUGCAAGUCGAACGAUUGCCUUCGGGUGAUAGUGGCGCACGGGUGCGUAACGCGUGGGAAUCUGCCCUUAGGUUCGGAAUAACAGCUGGAAACGGCUGCUAAUACCGGAUGAUAUCGCGAGAUCAAAGAUUUAUCGCCUGAGGAUGAGCCCGCGUUGGAUUAGGUAGUUGGUGGGGUAAAGGCCUACCAAGCCGACGAUCCAUAGCUGGUCUGAGAGGAUGAUCAGCCACACUGGGACUGAGACACGGCCCAGACUCCUACGGGAGGCAGCAGUGGGGAAUAUUGGACAAUGGGCGCAAGCCUGAUCCAGCAAUGCCGCGUGAGUGAUGAAGGCCCUAGGGUUGUAAAGCUCUUUUACCCGGGAAGAUAAUGACUGUACCGGAAGAAUAAGCCCCGGCUAACUCCGUG
This 435-nucleotide ribosomal RNA is filed under the name uncultured bacterium. RNAcentral's name for it is "partial 16S ribosomal RNA". It matches the Rfam family "Bacterial small subunit ribosomal RNA", at positions 29 to 507 of the family's 1533-position model. The record is from RNAcentral.